This is a long non-coding RNA of Sebastes umbrosus (honeycomb rockfish), 527 nucleotides long. RefSeq lists it as uncharacterized. Lineage: Eukaryota; Metazoa; Chordata; Actinopteri; Perciformes; Sebastidae. The transcript is spliced from 2 exons. The record is from RefSeq and is a predicted model, not a curated record.
AAAGGCCUGAGUUAGCACUUUGAAAAAGUCAAAGUUUAUCAAUCUCACCAUAUAAAGACCUAUUUUAUGAAGUAACUGAAUUAUAUUUCACCAAUAACACCAGUUUUGUGUUGCGAAAUCGGUUUGUUGUAGGUGGUUUUACCAAUUAGCACACCUCAAAACCUGAUAAAAGAAGCUAAAGGUCUUUGGUUGCAAAGUUAAAUACCCCAGAGAAUCACUGGUCUGCUAAAUUAUCAUCUGUAAAAAGUUGCCCAUCACUGAAAUGCCAGCAAAUGAAACCAAAAAGGUCACACUAAAGACUGUUACCACUGGGAUUUCUCAGAUGCUUUCAAUCUGUGUCAAAUCCAAACUAGUACUGCACAGUGUGGACCUUGUUGUGUGUGUCUGGAGAUCGUUUGCUCGUCUGUAUAGAUUGACUAGAUUUUAUCUGUAAAGAAGUGUACAUUCCAUUGUCAAAUUUCCGACUUGUGCCCCUGCGGCUGUUGACGGAACUUAAUUAAAUUGGAGUCUAUUUUUCUUCGGUUUUU